Molecule: long non-coding RNA, 859 nt
Organism: Lagenorhynchus albirostris (white-beaked dolphin)
Lineage: Eukaryota; Metazoa; Chordata; Mammalia; Artiodactyla; Delphinidae
Exons: 4
Source: RefSeq, a predicted model, not a curated record
GGGAUCCCCUGGAGCAUCAGUCUGAACAUACGUGUGGUGUCCUCAGAAGACCCCCAGGGAAGAUGUAGAGGGUCCACGUUGCCAGCCCCUGGGAAUCACAGCAUUGCGCAUGUGCAAAAUGGGAACGCAUGCCUCCAGGAUGACCCCGGAACCAGGAAUCUUCAGCUGACGGAACUUAAAGAACAGAAAUGUUGCCAGCGGAGCCCUUUACGAAACGAGAAGUCCUUCAAUCAGGAGACUCUGGCUUCCAGCAGUAGCUUAUUUGGACUGAUUCGAGACUAGCCAAUCAGCUUCCAAGUCUGAAGUUCCCUUAACCCGUUAAAUUUCACCCAGAAGCCUGGAUUGAGGGGAGAGAUUUGAGUCCUGCUUCCUGUUUCCUUGCAGGUCGACCUCGCAGUGAAGCUCUUUCUUUCCUCAAAAGCUGGUGCCAUAGUGUCAGCUCCUACGUGCAUCAGGCAGCCAGCACUUGCUGGGUAACAGAGGUAUCUUCUAUAAAGACCUUCAAGUGACAUCUUGCAUACAGAUCUUAGUUCCCCAAUGAGGUAUCGAACCUAUGCCCCCUGCAGUGGAAGCGUGGAGUCUUAACCACUGGGCUGCCAGGGAAGAACCCUGUAUUUGGUUUUGAUUGCCCAGCGUCAAGAAAAUUUGGAAUCAUAGCCCUCACUUUACAGAUGGGAAGACUGAGGCCCAGCCACCAGAGGCAGAACCUUGGGGCUUGCCUACCAGUUCCCCAGGGCCUGUCGCGUCGGUGGUGGACACCAAGACUGGUGCAGAAGAGAAGCCUUUGGUACCUGCCUUGAGGAGGAGCCUGGACCCUCCUUGCCACCCUACCCCACCCACCCUCCAUCACCGUGGCAAC